CACAAAACCUAAAAAAAUAUCUCUCAUUUUUUCCCUCUCUCAUUGUUGCAGACCUAUUUUCCUCCUCUCCUUCUCUAAUCUCUCUCUCUCUCUCGCCGUCACUCUCUCUCUCUCUCUAGCCUGAUGUAGGGAAUCUGGUAGACCCGAUUCUAGGGGAUUAACAUUUGCAUCAUAGUUAAUAUGAAGGGUCGAGAUGGGUCUACACCGUCAGGCCGUGGGACGGAUGGGCAAGGGCGAGGCGUGGACGAGGAUCAGAUGGCCAAGGCCGAGGGCGAGGUGGGCGAGUGUCAGAGGCGCCAACACCAUUAUCAGUUCCUCCUUCGCCAGCUUCGUCGUUAUUUGUUGUACGACUCCCUACAUCUCCUUCUAUAUCAUCCCCACAUGUAGCACCCUCCCUAUCAUAGUCACCCACAACAUCUCCGAUAACUUUUUAUGCGGCACGCCAAUCACAUCCUCGGCCUCGGUAGUAGAGUCAAGUGCUGCUGGGUAGUUACUUGAGCUCUAUUCUAGAAGGUAUACGUAUAUAAUUUAUGAUUUAUUUAUUCGGUGUUUGUUUAUUUUUAUUAUUAUGUAUAGUUUUUGUUUAAUUUUUUUUUGUUCAGUCUAAUGCUUGUUCAUCCACCAUAUCAAAGAUUUUUCUACAAAAAAUGGAUCCUGCUGGCCAUUCAUGGAAGACAGUGCCACCGGCUAUCAGAAAGUAUUAUUGGCAAGAGUUUCAGGUUUAAAUUAUUUUAACUAAUACUUGUAUUAUUAUUGUAUUUAUUAAAUCAUUUUAAAAAGACAUGGACCCAUUCUAUAGGGGGUAUAUAUUCAUUGUAUAGGAGAGAUUCUGCCGAAUUUUUAUUAGUUUUGUUUAUUAGUAACUAUUUCCACACUUUCGAGUAACUUUCGACUAAUAUUUUUUCUUCUAUUUUUUCAAUAACACUUUAUAUGGCAGUCACAUCUUAAGACCCAAAUUCGUAGGAGGUGGGAAUCGUAAGCAAGUAUCUAAUGCACCAAUAAUCUGUUGAGGUGCAGGAGAUCCGAUAAGAGACUGUUGGCUGUCCCGUAUAAUGUUUGGGACAGUUCGCAGAAAAAAUGGUCCAAGCCUGAGUUCAAAGCAAGUGUGUUACAACAUCGAAGAACUGGUUGAGCAAGACAAGCGGCCCUAUAUUUGGUCCUUCACGCCAUAUUAGAGAAUUAGGUUGAGAGCCAAAUUACAUUGAGCUUUUUGAGGCUACACACAUGAGCAAGAAGAAUAAAGACUGGUUGACAUAAGGUCUAAGGAAGUAGCUAUUGCUAUGAUGAGCUGAAAGAGAAAGCUAAUUAGACCUAGGACGGUUCGACAGAGACGUAAGAGUCAGACCUAAAGAAAUUGUUCUUACAAGCGUUUGGUGGAGAGAAGAAGUGUCGAGUGUACGACAUGGGUGCCAGAACUCCAGACUUCUACAACAGUUCCUCCUCCUCCACUGCUGCAUUUUUAGAUUUUAAUGUCUAGUGUAUGCGAGACGCUAGUUGCCAAGACUUGCAGCAUGAGCUGCAAUAUCAGAUGAGGAGCAGCGGGUAGCCAUGAAGGCAUAACGGGUUGCAAUGGAGUGGCAAAUGCAGGAGCAUAUGUAGAAGCAAAUGGACAUGCAACACCUCAUUGUAGAUAGCUUGCACCUCCAUAAGAUCCUUCUUCAUUAGCAUCUAAUCCUGACCAUUGAUUUAUUGACUAUCGACUAAUUUUAUUUUUUUCAUAGUUUUAUAAAUUCUAUAUACUUUAUGAUAUUAUAUUUUGUAAUCAAAUUUGUUUAUUGA
This is a long non-coding RNA of Ricinus communis (castor bean), 1779 nucleotides long. RefSeq lists it as uncharacterized. The transcript is spliced from 5 exons. Lineage: Eukaryota; Viridiplantae; Streptophyta; Magnoliopsida; Malpighiales; Euphorbiaceae. The record is from RefSeq and is a predicted model, not a curated record.